RNAcentral lists this ribosomal RNA (466 nucleotides) under uncultured bacterium. Its description in RNAcentral is "partial 16S ribosomal RNA". It matches the Rfam family "Bacterial small subunit ribosomal RNA", at positions 28 to 507 of the family's 1533-position model. The record is from RNAcentral.
GAUGAACGCUGGCGGCGUGCUUAACACAUGCAAGUCGAACGGAAAGGCUCUUGCUUGCAGGGGUACUCGAGUGGCGAACGGGUGAGUAACACGUGGGUGAUCUGCCCUGCACUUCGGGAUAAGCCUGGGAAACUGGGUCUAAUACCGGAUAGGACGAUGGUUUGGAUGCCAUUGUGGAAAGUUUUUUCGGUGUGGGAUGAGCUCGCGGCCUAUCAGCUUGUUGGUGGGGUAAUGGCCUACCAAGGCGUCGACGGGUAGCCGGCCUGAGAGGGUGUACGGCCACAUUGGGACUGAGAGACGGCCCAGACUCCUACGGGAGGCAGCAGUGGGGAAUAUUGCACAAUGGGCGCAAGCCUGAUGCAGCGACGCCGCGUGGGGGAUGACGGCCUUCGGGUUGUAAACUCCUUUCGCUAGGGACGAAGCGCAAGUGACGGUACCUGGAGAAGAAGCACCGGCUAACUACGUG